GGGAAGUUGGCUCAGUGGUAGAGCGCUUGUCUUGCAUGCAUGAGGCCUGGGUUCGAUUCCCAACACCACA
RNAcentral lists this transfer RNA (70 nucleotides) under Dipodomys ordii (Ord's kangaroo rat). It matches the Rfam family "tRNA". Rfam says of the family: Transfer RNA (tRNA) molecules are approximately 80 nucleotides in length. Their secondary structure includes four short double-helical elements and three loops (D, anti-codon, and T loops). Further hydrogen bonds mediate the characteristic L-shaped molecular structure. tRNAs have two regions of fundamental functional importance: the anti-codon, which is responsible for specific mRNA codon recognition, and the 3' end, to which the tRNAs corresponding amino acid is attached (by aminoacyl-tRNA synthetases). tRNAs cope with the degeneracy of the genetic code in two manners: having more than one tRNA (with a specific anti-codon) for a particular amino acid; and 'wobble' base-pairing, i.e. permitting non-standard base-pairing at the 3rd anti-codon position. The record is from Rfam by way of RNAcentral. Lineage: Eukaryota; Metazoa; Chordata; Mammalia; Rodentia; Heteromyidae.